This 448-nucleotide long non-coding RNA is filed under the name Nicotiana benthamiana. RNAcentral describes it as "long non-coding RNA (NBEN_LNC022115)". The record is from RNAcentral. Lineage: Eukaryota; Viridiplantae; Streptophyta; Magnoliopsida; Solanales; Solanaceae.
AGGAAUGCAAGAGUAUUCACUAAGACUUGUCGGUGUAACACUGAUAUUUACACUGAUAUAGUGAGAGACAUAGCGUACAACCGUAAUGUUAGAGGCAUCCCUAGAAUUAGACAACAAUUACAACACCUUAAUAUAUAGUAGAAGCUAGAUAGUUAGGACACUAAGUGUAGCUAUUAUGUUACCUUUUAGACAGUUGGCUGAGUUGAAGCUUGGCUGUAGUUUUGUAAUGCAAUUACCAAAAAAAACAAAGUAAUAGGGGUUAGAUAGAACCUAACGCUCGAUUUGGCCGUUGAGAAACAGUGGUGUCGUGAAGAAGUUCAAAGCCUCAAACUGAAUUGAAAUUUGUUGAGCGAGUUCACAAACCGGUAUCCUCCUUGUCAUAUGAACGCUUUUUUUGUUAGAUUCUAAAGAGUUUUAAUGAAAAUUAUGUUUCUAUCUGGAGUUUUUG